AUGUUCAACCGGACAAGGAUGGAGCGCUCUGCUCCAAACAAUCAGGAUGCUGUGGCUGCCUGCAGAUUUGCCUACCUAGAAGAUCCAUGUUUUUCUUUUGGUUAUCUUUUUGGAAGGUUCGGCAAACGACAGAGAACAGGUUACAGCCAAAUUCACCAAACUGAUGAAAUGAAUCCCUGCUUUCAAAAUAUCAAUUCACCAAAAGAAGCACAAAUUCAGUUGUUACAGCCAAAGAGGCAACAGAGCAUUGGCAAUCAUCCAUCAAUCAAUUCCCCAUUCAGCACUAACAGCAUUUGUAGUUCCAGAUAA
This 309-nucleotide ribosomal RNA is filed under the name Triticum aestivum (bread wheat). RNAcentral describes it as "partial small subunit ribosomal RNA". Lineage: Eukaryota; Viridiplantae; Streptophyta; Magnoliopsida; Poales; Poaceae. The record is from RNAcentral.